Molecule: ribosomal RNA, 516 nt
Filed under: uncultured bacterium
Lineage: Bacteria
Description: partial 16S ribosomal RNA
Rfam family: Bacterial small subunit ribosomal RNA
Source: RNAcentral
GACGAACGCUGGCGGCGUGCCUAACACAUGCAAGUCGAACGGAGAAGUUCAGCAAUGGAUUUCUUAGUGGCGAACGGGUGAGUAACGCGUAGACAACCUGCCUCUAAGCUGGGGACAACAACUCGAAAGGGUUGCUAAUACCGAAUGUGAACAGUGCCUCGCAUGAGAUGCUGUUUGAAGGUGGCCUCUGAAAAUGCUACCGAUUAGAGAUGGGUCUGCGUCUGAUUAGCUAGUUGGGGGGGUAAUGGCCCACCAAGGCGACGAUCAGUAGCCGGUCUGAGAGGAUGAACGGCCAAACAGGGACUGAGACACGGCCCAGACUCCUACGGGAGGCAGCAGUGGGGAAUCUUCCGCAAUGGACGAAAGUCUGACGGAGCAACGCCGCGUGAGUGAAGAAGGCCCUCGGGUCGUAAAGCUCUGUCUUCAGGGACGAAUGUGCAGAUUGUGAAUAAUGGUUUGUAAUGACGGUACCUGAGGAGGAAGCCACGGCUAACUACGUGCCAGCCGCCGCAGUAA